Molecule: long non-coding RNA, 3029 nt
Organism: Myripristis murdjan (pinecone soldierfish)
Lineage: Eukaryota; Metazoa; Chordata; Actinopteri; Holocentriformes; Holocentridae
Exons: 2
Source: RefSeq, a predicted model, not a curated record
UCUACUGAGCAUGCCCUUCUACAGCUUGUCAACUAUAUUUCAUCAGCUCUCGAUAAUAACAAAUUUGCCCUUGGAGUCUUCCUGGACGUGAGUAAGGCGUUCGAUACGGUCAGCCAUGACAUAUUGAUUGCCAAACUAAACAGAUAUGGAGUGGAGGCAACUGCCCUGAAAUGGUUCAAAAACUAUCUUACUAACAGAGAGCAAUAUGUGCAUCUGGCUGGUUUUUCUUCCAAGAAAUCACAAAUUUUGUAUGGUGUUCCUCAGGGAUCAAUCCUGGGCCCUCUGUUAUUUUUAAUUUACAUCAACGACUUGGCCAUGACAUGCACCAAACUCCGCCCAGUAUUAUUUGCGGACGAUACAAAUCUUGUAGCUUUACACAAAGACUUCAACACCUUAAUCAAAAUUGUCAGUGAGGAACUAUCUCGUGUUGCGCAAUGGUUUCAAUGUAACAAACUAACCCUCAAUGUGAAAAAAUGCAAUUUCAUGAUAUUUUGUAAUAUUAAUAAACAUUAUCCUAUAGAAUUAGCUAAAGUCUUGAUCAUUUAUGCUGAAAUUGAAUUGGUUCAGCAUAUUAAAUUUCUAGGAGUUAUCAUAGAUAGCGGCCUUAAGUGGUCUGACCAUAUCGACCUUGUCUCAAAAAGAUCUGCGAAAAUGCUUGGCAUAUUGAGGAAGUUUAUUGUUGUUUUCUUGUUGAGUGUUUAGCCUGCAUGUCAUGAAAUCGAUAUGGGCAGGUGUGGAACUCUGUACAAGCCUGCUUUUUCCUUGAAUCUAACAUGUAGUUUAUUGUUGUUUUCUUGUUGAGUGUUUAGCCUGCAUGUCAUGAAAUCGAUAUGGGCAGGUGUGGAACUCUGUACAAGCCUGCAAAGGCUUCGUUCCCACCUUGCACAGAUUUCCUGGGCCCUCUAUUAUUCUGUACAAGUUUGAGGUCCCAGACCGGCUUUCUCCUCUGUUUGGUGGGAAGGGUGAGUCGGGGUUAAAUUGGCCUAACCCUAACCCAAAAUUCCUAUAGUUUGAGCCCAGCGUAACUUUACUCACAAAGUGCUUUACAGAAAACCAAAGACAGAACAACAUAAGAACAAGGGAAAAUAAAAACUUGAGAUUGAACUCAAAGAGACAGUGUCAGACCCGCUGAGGGAUUAACAAGCAAACAGAAAGGAACGGCUGUGAGGUGGGACUGAAGCAGAACUGACCAUAUUCACACGGCGGCCAUCUUCCUCUGACGUCACGUUCAGGGAGGGAAACUCAAACGCUGCGAUCGAAAGGAUAAAACUGUGCCAGUUGUCUGUCGAACACGCAGGAAAUCCAACAAAACUUGAUCCUUUCCUUUAUCGCUUCUUGAUUGAUCAGCAACUGAGAAAACAGUGGAUCCAGAGGGACAUCGGGCCAUAUUUCAAAUUACAACAACAUAUUUCUUCAUCUGUUAGCCACCGUUAGCCAACAGCUGUUGGUAUCAUUCAGCCGCUUCCUAGCUAACGUUACUGUUUGAUAUCGUUACGUGUUACGAUAAGUUCAUGUGCCGAACGAAACACCCACUGCUGAAGAGCUUGGAUCAUACUUCUGUUUUGGAUGUAAUCUGUAGGAACGUCAUACAGAACCCUGUGUUCCAGACAGCAGAACGUGGCAGAACAUUCCUGAGUUCAGCAGAACAUUAAAACCCAGCAGGACAGCUAACGUUACCCUGCUAACAUUAGCCUACUAGCUUCAGCACAGCCAGUGGCUUUCACUGCCACACUUUGAUAACUGAGUCACCAUGUUCACUGAGAUUUCACUGUUCAUUUACUCCUGUCGGAUCAUGUGACGCUUACGGUAAUGUUAGCUAGGAGGUGGCUGAAUGCUAACGUUAGCUGCUGUAGCUAACAGGUGAUCAAAUCUGUAGUUUGAGCUUGAAAUCUGAGCCGACGUUCCUCUGGAGUUUCUCUCCCCAUCGUCUCUUCAGUUGUUCCUCAGUCAUGAAGCGGUGGGACCUCAGCAGUUUGACGGGUUCUCUGUGGUUCUACGCCGACCCUGAAGAUGGCCCCGAGGUGAAUCUGGUCUUAAUGGGUCUCAAGUUAAAUCCUGCCGGUCUGUUUGUUCCGUCAGCAGCAGUUUAAAUUUUUAGGCGAUAUUUGCAAAACAGCGUGACGGAUGGUAGUGCUAGAUGUUGACUCUCUAACAGCUGACAGUCGGUUUCCAUCACAUGUCCUGAGAAUCUGCUUGUAGUGAACCUGUUUGAAGAGACAGCGCUCACAGAGUUUGGCUCUGGAAUUUGAUCGCCACCGUUUUUCAAAAGUGACACCUACUCCUACAAAAUGAUUGACAGCACAAAACAGCAUUUUACAGAUCCUCAUUUUUUAGAUGUUAUGAGUAAUGAACUUUUAUUCAAAGUUAAUUUUUAACGUGUUCAUCAAUUAAAACGUCUGCAGAUUCACCCUCAUCUUAAUUUAAGAACCGUAACUGACAUUAACAAUAUUGAGGUAAAAAAGUGAGAUCACGAUUUGUAUCAGAAAUGUGGAGUUCUUCCACUUUUUGAGCCUUGAAUCCAGAUGAGACAAUUUCAGUGUUUUAGCAAGAACCAGCUUUAUUCAAAUAAAUGCUCCCAAAUGGUCUGGCAACUCAUCUUGUAGCUCGUAGUUUAUGAAUCACUGUUAGACGACAGAACUGUCUGAAAUCAUAACUUAAAUCAGCUUUUUCUCAUCCAGUAUGACGUUAUUACCUGUUUGAUAUUAAUCCACAUGAGAUGGCCUUGUGGUUCCUCAAAACAUUGAGUCAACCUGUUGAAAAUGAACAUAAGACAAAAUUGGUUUUGUUCAGAGUGUGAAAAUAAACACUUUAAUUGAUAUUUCGUAUUGAUUUAUAAUGUCAUUGCUAUGGAUUAAGUGAACUGUUUUCAUUGCAUUUACUGUGCUGCAGUGUGAUGGAAAAAUCUUUUUAAUAUUCAUCAAAAAUUUUGAUGUGAAAAUACAGUUUCAAAGAGCACUCAUGUUUCUGCAGUAGCUGAGCUUAUUUAAUUGCACUGAACAUUCAAUAAAAUGCUUGAGUUUCACUCCAAA